Molecule: transfer RNA, 73 nt
Filed under: Bos taurus (domestic cattle)
Lineage: Eukaryota; Metazoa; Chordata; Mammalia; Artiodactyla; Bovidae
Also listed under: 1 other name
Rfam family: tRNA
About the family: Transfer RNA (tRNA) molecules are approximately 80 nucleotides in length. Their secondary structure includes four short double-helical elements and three loops (D, anti-codon, and T loops). Further hydrogen bonds mediate the characteristic L-shaped molecular structure. tRNAs have two regions of fundamental functional importance: the anti-codon, which is responsible for specific mRNA codon recognition, and the 3' end, to which the tRNAs corresponding amino acid is attached (by aminoacyl-tRNA synthetases). tRNAs cope with the degeneracy of the genetic code in two manners: having more than one tRNA (with a specific anti-codon) for a particular amino acid; and 'wobble' base-pairing, i.e. permitting non-standard base-pairing at the 3rd anti-codon position.
Source: Rfam by way of RNAcentral
UCCCUGGUGGUCCAGUUGUUAAGAUUCUGCACUUACAAUGCGGGAGGUUUGGGUUUGAUUCCUGAUUGGGGAA